GCUAUGAAAGAUCCUUCGGGUGAUUGNUUAACUAGAAAGCGGCGGACGGGUGAGUAACGCGUGAGUAACCUGCCCCAUACACAGGGAUAGCCAUUGGAAACGAUGAUUAAUACCUGAUAACACAUAUUUAACACAUGUUAAUUAUGUCAAAGAUUUAUCGGUAUGGGAUGGACUCGCGUCUNUUUNGCUAGUUGGUAAGGUAACGGCUUACCAAGGCGACGAUCAGUAGCCGACCUGAGAGGGUGAUCGGCCACACUGGAACUGAGACACGGUCCAGACUCCUACGGGAGGCAGCAGUGGGGAAUAUUGCACAAUGGGCGCAAGCCUGAUGCAGCAACGCCGCGUGAACGAAGAAGGCCUUCGGGUCGUAAAGUUCUUUUCUUAGGGAAGAAAAAUGACGGUACCUAAGGAAUAAGCACCGGCUAAAUACGUGCCAGCAGCCGCGGGUAAUACGUAUGGUGCAAGCGUUAUCCGGAAUCACUGGGCGUAAAGGGUACCGUAGGCGGUUUUGCAAGUCAGGAAGUGAAAGGCUACGGCUCAACCGUAGUAAGCUUUUGAAACUGCNAGACUAGAGUUCAGGAGAGGUAAGUGNAAUUCCUAGUGUAGAGGUGAAAUUCGUAGAUAUUAGGAGGAACACCAGUGGCGAAGGCGACUUACUGGACUGAACUGNCGCUGAGGUACGAAAGCGUGGGGGACGAACAGGAUUAGAUACCCUGGUAGUCCACGCCGUNA
RNAcentral lists this ribosomal RNA (732 nucleotides) under uncultured bacterium. RNAcentral describes it as "bacterial SSU rRNA". It matches the Rfam family "Bacterial small subunit ribosomal RNA", at positions 66 to 805 of the family's 1533-position model. The record is from RNAcentral.